This 699-nucleotide ribosomal RNA is filed under the name uncultured bacterium. Its description in RNAcentral is "bacterial SSU rRNA". It matches the Rfam family "Bacterial small subunit ribosomal RNA", at positions 138 to 857 of the family's 1533-position model. The record is from RNAcentral.
CACGGAUAACAUACCGAAAGGUAUGCUAAUACGGGAUAAUAUAUUUGAGAGGCAUCUCUUAAAUAUCAAAGGUGAGCCAGUACAGGAUGGACCCGCGUCUGAUUAGCUAGUUGGUAAGGUAACGGCUUACCAAGGCGACGAUCAGUAGCCGACCUGAGAGGGUGAUCGGCCACAUUGGAACUGAGACACGGUCCAAACUCCUACGGGAGGCAGCAGUGGGGAAUAUUGCACAAUGGGCGAAAGCCUGAUGCAGCAACGCCGCGUGAGUGAUGAAGGCCUUCGGGUCGUAAAACUCUGUCCUCAAGGAAGAUAAUGACGGUACUUGAGGAGGAAGCCCCGGCUAACUACGUGCCAGCAGCCGCGGUAGUACGUAGGGGGCUAGCGUUAUCCGGAUUUACUGGGCGUAAAGGGUGCGUAGGCGGUCUUUCAAGUCAGGAGUGAAAGGCUACGGCUCAACCGUAGUAAGCUCUUGAAACUGGGAGACUUGAGUGCAGGAGAGGAGAGUGGAAUUCCUAGUGUAGCGGUGAAAUGCGUAGAUAUUAGGAGGAACACCAGUCGCGAAGGCGGCUCUCUGGACUGUAACUGACGCUGAGGCACGAAAGCGUGGGGAGCAAACAGGAUUAGAUACCCUGGUAGUCCACGCUGUAAACGAUGAGUACUAGGUGUCGGGGGUUACCCCCCUCGGUGCCGCAGCUAACG